UCGGGCGUUCCCCUUCGGGGGACAGGGUGACAGGUGGUGCAUGGUUGUCGUCAGCUCGUGUCGUGAGAUGUUGGGUUAAGUCCCGCAACGAGCGCAACCCUGACCUUAGUUGCCAGCAUUCAGUUGGGCACUCUAAGGUGACUGCCGGCUAAAAGUCGGAGGAAGGUGGGGAUGACGUCAAAUCAUCAUGCCCCUUAUGACCUGGGCUACACACGUGCUACAAUGGGCGGUACAAAGGGUCGCGAACCCGCGAGGGGGAGCCAAUCCCAAAAAGCCGCUCUCAGUUCGGAUUGCAGGCUGCAACUCGCCUGCAUGAAGCCGGAAUCGCUAGUAAUCGCGGAUCAGCAUGCCGCGGUGAAUACGUUCCCGGGCCUU
RNAcentral lists this ribosomal RNA (375 nucleotides) under uncultured Anoxybacillus sp. RNAcentral describes it as "bacterial SSU rRNA". It matches the Rfam family "Bacterial small subunit ribosomal RNA", at positions 1006 to 1382 of the family's 1533-position model. Lineage: Bacteria; Bacillati; Bacillota; Bacilli; Caryophanales; Anoxybacillaceae. The record is from RNAcentral.